RNAcentral lists this ribosomal RNA (1239 nucleotides) under Fennel phyllody phytoplasma. RNAcentral describes it as "bacterial SSU rRNA". It matches the Rfam family "Bacterial small subunit ribosomal RNA", at positions 162 to 1399 of the family's 1533-position model. The record is from RNAcentral. Lineage: Bacteria; Bacillati; Mycoplasmatota; Mollicutes; Acholeplasmatales; Acholeplasmataceae.
GCUAAGACUGGAUAGGAAGAUAAAAGGCAUCUUUUAUCUCUUAAAAGACCUAGUAAUAGGUAUGCUUUAGGAGGGGCUUGCGCCAUAUUAGUUAGUUGGUAGGGUAAUGGCCUACCAAGACGAUGAUGUGUAGCUGGACUGAGAGGUUGAACAGCCACAUUGGGACUGAGACACGGCCCAAACUCCUACGGGAGGCAGCAGUAGGGAAUUUUCGGCAAUGGAGGAAACUCUGACCGAGCAACGCCGCGUGAAUGACGAAGUACUUCGGUAUGUAAAGUUCUUUUAUCAAGGAAGAAAAGCAAAUGGCGAACCAUUUGUUUGCCGGUACUUGAUGAAUAAGCCCCGGCUAAUUAUGUGCCAGCAGCCGCGGUAAGACAUAAGGGGCAAGUGUUAUCCGGAAUUAUUGGGCGUAAAGGGUGCGUAGGCGGUCUAGUAAGUCAGUGGUGUAAUGGCAACGCUUAACGCUGUCCGGCUAUUGAAACUGCUAAACUUGAGUUAGAUAGAGGCGAGUGGAAUUCCAUGUGUAGCGGUAAAAUGCGUAAAUAUAUGGAGGAACACCAGAGGCGUAGGGCGGCUCGCUGGGUCUUAACUGACGCUGAGGCACGAAAGCGUGGGGAGCAAACAGGAUUAAUACCCUGGUAGUCCACGCCGUAAACGAUGAGUACUAAGUGUCGGGUUAAACCGGUACUGAAGUUAACACAUUAAGUACUCCGCCUGAGUAGUACGUACGCAAGUAUGAAACUUAAAGGAAUCGACGGGACUCCGCACAAGCGGUGGAUCAUGUUGUUUAAUUCGAAGAUACCCGAAAAACCUUACCAGGUCUUGACAUGUUUUUGCAAAAUGAUAGUAAUAUCGUGGAGGUUACCAGAAACACAGGUGGUGCAUGGUUGUCGUCAGCUCGUGUCGUGAGAUGUUAGGUUAAGUCCUAAAACGAGCGAAACCCUUAUCGUUAGUUGCCAGCACGUUAUGGUGGGGACUUUAACGAGACUGCCAAUGAUAAAUUGGAGGAAGGUGAGGAUCACGUCAAAUCAGCAUGCCCCUUAUGACCUGGGCUACAAACGUGAUACAAUGGCUGUUACAAAGGGUAGCUGAAACGCAAGUUCUUGGCCAAUCCCCAAAAACAGUCCCAGUCCGGAUUGAAGUCUGCAACUCGACUUCAUAAAGUUGGAAUCGCUAGUAAUCGCGAAUCAGCAUGUCGCGGUGAAUACGUUCUCGGGUUUUGAUACACACCGCCCGUCA